Long non-coding RNA from Macadamia integrifolia, 4211 nucleotides. RefSeq lists it as uncharacterized. The record is from RefSeq and is a predicted model, not a curated record. Lineage: Eukaryota; Viridiplantae; Streptophyta; Magnoliopsida; Proteales; Proteaceae. The transcript has 7 exons.
AGAAAGAGUUGAAUAUGAGACAGAGGAGAUGGUUGGAGCUGAUGAAAGAUUAUGAUUGCACCAUCCAUUACCAUCCUGGAAAGGCCAAUGUUGUGUCUGAUGCAUUGAGCAGGAAGUCUCAGACUCUGUCCCUAGCAACCUUGACUGUGAAUGAACAGCUGAGUGAAGAAGCUAGAAGAAUGGACUCGGAACUAUUAAUGAAUGAGGAGAUAGUGACCUUGGCUGCACUUAUGAUGCAACCAUCAUUCGUGGAGAAAAUCCAAGCCGCCCAAGUAUUAGAUGAGAAUCUUCAGAAGAUAGUAAACGAUAUCAAAGAAGGAAGACAGAAGGAUUUGAACUUCAGGUUGAUUGAAAAUGGAGUUCUCAAGUUCAAGGAUAGGCUUUGUGUACCAAAGGAUAAAGAAAUGAGAGAACUGAUAUUGAGAGAAGCUCACAAUUCACCCUACUCAAUCCAUCCAGGUAGUGCAAAAAUGUACAAGGACUUAAAGAAGUUCUAUUGGUGGAAUGGCAUGAAAGCCGAUGUAGCCUUUCACGUAGCCAAGUGCUUGAAUUGCCAACAAAUCAAAGCUGAAAGACAAAGGCCACAUGGAUUGCUACAACCCCUACCCGUACCAGAAUGGAAAUGGGUAAACAUCACCAUGGACUUUGUUACAGGGCUGCCACGUACUCAGAAGGGAAAUGACACAAUCUGGGUAAUUGUAGACCGACUGACCAAAGUAGCCCACUUCAUUCCUAUGAAGAUUACCUAUCCCAUGGAGAAGUUGGCCCAACUAUAUGUUGAUAAUUUUGUUCGGAUGCACGGGGUACUAGUUAGUAUUGUCUCUGACCGUGACUCUAGAUUCACCUCUAAGUUCUGGAAGUGUUUACAGAAGGCAAUAGGGACAUAGCUGAACUUCAGCACAACAUUCCAUCCAUAGACAGAUGGGCAGUCAGAGAGGACUAUAUAGACCCUAGAGGAUAUGUUGCGGGCUUGUGUAUUGGAUAUGAGCUAUAGUUGGGAUGAGCACUUGUCACUCAUAGAGUUCGCCUACAACAAUAGCUACCAGGCUACCAUAGGCAUGGCACCCUAUGAAGCCCAGUAUGGUAAGAAAUGCAGAACACCUUUAUAUUGGGAUGAAGUUGUGGAAAGAAGAAUCCUAGGUCCGGAACUAAUCCAGGCCACUUGUGAGAAAGUGGAUGUAAUCAUAGAGAGGAUCAAGGCAGCUCAAUCAAGACAGAAGAGCUAUGCUGAUGUCAGACGGAUGCACCUAGAGUUUGAGGUGGGUGAUAAGAUUUUUUUUUAAAGUCUCGCUAAUGAGAGGAGUGAAGAGGUUUGGCAAGAAGGGAAAGCUAAGUCCUUGAUACAUGGGACCUUAUAAGAUAUUGGGUCGAGUCGGAACAAUAGCUUACCGAGUCAUUAUGCCACCCGAAUUAAAAGGAGCUCAUAAUGUAUUUCAUGUUUCCAUGCUCAAGAAGUACGUUCCCGAUCCAGCUCAUAUUUUGACACAUGGUACCCUUAGAGCUUGACACUAAUUGGAAGUAUGUAAAGCAGCUAAAAGAAAUCAUUAAUAGGAGAGACCACAUUCUCCACAAUCAGAUUGUUUCUUAUGUACUAGUUAAGUGGAGGAAUCAUUCUAAACAAGAAGCAUCUUGGGAACGCAAAGAUGAGAUAAAGGAGAGAUAUCCUCAAAUGUUCGGAUUACCAGGUACAUUAAAUUUCAGGGACAAAAUUUCUUGUAAGGUGGGGGAUGUUAUACCCAUGCCCUAAAUUUCCCAUUUUUAAUUACCAAAUGAGGCACCGGAGGAUAUUCGUACCGAGGAAUACUGGGUAGCAGCCGUGUUUUGCCGGGAAGGGAAGGAUGACCCCACUUACACUUGCUACUCAUGCCUUAAAAAUUGGAAGGGGUUUCGGACGCAGAAGGAAAGGUUAGUUAAGCCCUCACACUUCACGGGAAGAUCCCUAAACCUUAAAAGUGAAAAUACAGGCCAAAACCGGGUUAUUUGGCCGUGGGAAUCAGACCAUCGCACCGUGCACCUCAAACUACCUUCAUUGGUUGGUACCACUUAUUAGGUAAUGGAUUAAUGUAUUGGGUCAUCCCAAGGUGGGCCCGUUAGUGCCAAAUAAUAAGUUAACCCAGUAAUGGGUGAAAACUCAUUUUUCUCCCAAACAAGCCUUAGUAAUUAAGUGACUAUAAAUAGACUAUUACCAUUCAUUCUCCACCUACCAAAGUAAAAACAAAGAGAAGGAGAAAGAGAAAGAAGAAGAAGGAGAAGGAGAGAAAGGAAGGAAGAGGAAGGGAGGAGCAAGGGUUUCUAUCAACUAAGGUAAACUCCAUUCACUCUAAGUCUUUAACUCCAUGUGCUAGGCUCUCUCUCUCUCUCCCAUUUCCUCUCUUUUGAGCUAAGAGAGAUCACCCCAACUGAAUCGCACCUUUCCACUGUCUAAACUUACAAAUAGGAAAGGGGAUUUGGUAUGGGAAACUUACCUUAGCAAAAUCAUGGUUCAUUUCCAGUUUAUAAACCCUCCUUUAGGAAACCUCCAUCCAAAGAACAAUUUGGGUAACACAAAACCUAGAAAUGGGGAAAAUUACUAAAACACACUUUCCCACUUAUUAAAACUACAAAUUGGGAGAGGGGUUUAGUAUAAGAGACUUAUCCUAGCAAGAUUAAUGGAUCAAUUUGAGUCCAUGAACCCUCCCUAGUGAAAUCCCCAAUUUGGGUAACAAAAACCCUAGAGAAGGUGGGUUUUACCCCAAACACUCUAUACCUCACCAUUGAAACCCAAAAUUGGGUUGGGGAAAAUGAAAUUAAAUAUAUGUAUAGUGGUUUAGGGUGACCACAUAAGCCAUUAAUGGUCACCACCAACACCCUCAACCGAAAUUCCUUAAUUUAGCUUAGUCGCGACUAGAACUUUGGGAAUUGGGAUGCAUUGUGUAAACCUAUCUUAAUUAAACCAUUAAUUACACCUAAUCUAAGGUAAUUAAGAUGGGUGAACAUACCCCACAUAUGAAUUAGCCCUAUAGUCAUAAAACCCUUAAUUUGAGAACGAUUUCAAAGAAAAGAAAAAAUAGGAAAUGAAGCUAGAACAUAUGCCUAAGGACUUAUUCCUCUAUGAGUGGUUUAUUUCUUAAAAUUCUAAUGUAUCCUAGGAGUAGAACCAAGAGGUGACGAGGCACGGCGCGAGGCCAUCGAUUGUCCAUCAUCACCUAGGACUCAAGGUCGGCAAUCCUGCUUGAUGUGAUUGCAGUCAGUGCACUUAUAAUAUAUAUAACCCGUGUGGCACUGGGUUACAAACAGACAUGGGAUCGAUAUCAACUUCUGGUCAACAGAACACUCUAUGAGAAAACUUUAGCUAGUGGCUUUGGUUCAGUUCAUUUCCUUUUGGAUGCUUCUGAACAGCAGCAAUACAAGGAAGCCAUUUUAGCAUAUGCACUCCUGCUCCGAUCUGAAAGUGAUAAGGUAAAUUGUCGUAUGACUGUUGGGGAUACAUGUGAGAGAUUCAUAUAUGAAAAGUUCAAGGAAAAGAUUGAAAUGCCAGUUGACAACGCCAUGGAUACACUUCUGAGGUUGGGUCUUGUAACAGAGGAACCUUUUGAUGGCUACUUAAAGCUGCAGGCUGUUCCAUGUGCCAAGGCAUGUAGGGCCCUUGCUCAACGUUGGAACAGCUUGAUUGGACUAGGAUAAGUACGGUUUGCUAGCUUAUACAGCGUACAAGCAACGAUGUUUCUGAACCUACAAGAUCGACAGUGAUGGUCAUCGCGAAAUCUCUUGCAUCCUUUGGAAAUUGGAAGUAGGGAAAACUCAAAAGUAGUGUCAGGAGUCAGGACCUCAAUAUGGGUAUCGAUUGGCCUGGGGUCCAUCGUGGAGGAUUUUCAAGGCAAUUAUGUCGUGUUGUGAGUCAGGUCUUUGCUUUGGCUGUCUGGGAAAUGGGAUGAAGAAUGGGCCAAGAUUAGCGUGUAACAUGGGCUUUUGUUCGAUAUUUGUGAAUCUGAUUCACUGCUUCUAAUCUUUUUUUUUUUUCUUUUUUCAUUUUUCUUUUGGUAGCACAAUGCUUCUAAUCCGAUCUUUAUAUGUUGCAAUACAAGUGGCUGAAAGAAAUUUAAUUUGUGCUUGAGGAUAUCUGGUACUUGGACAUUGCCUCGAAUCCCUCUAUUGUUGUUUCAAACAUAUCCAAGGAACAUCAUAAGCUGGCCUGGGAGCUGCUGCGUUUUACAUUUCUUCUGUUUGGAUUU